CGGACAGGGCCGCGCAAGUCACUUAAUG
This 28-nucleotide small RNA is filed under the name Bombyx mori (domestic silkworm). Its description in RNAcentral is "ovarian small RNA-14444". The record is from RNAcentral. Lineage: Eukaryota; Metazoa; Arthropoda; Insecta; Lepidoptera; Bombycidae.